This 286-nucleotide long non-coding RNA is filed under the name Nicotiana benthamiana. RNAcentral's name for it is "long non-coding RNA (NBEN_LNC025100)". The record is from RNAcentral. Lineage: Eukaryota; Viridiplantae; Streptophyta; Magnoliopsida; Solanales; Solanaceae.
GGUUUUGCUUCAUAGCCUGGAUUGUUGGCAGGUGGUGUGCGAGUAUCUUGUUAAUGAUGUCGAGACCAAUAUUCCGUGUUUUUCUGUUGAUUGUACUCAUAAUCACAUCUCAGUUGGAACGGAAGCAACAAUUGGUGAGUGAUGUCGAACCGAGUCCUAGUAUAUCUCAGAAACAACAAAAGAUUUCAAAUAGGGAAGAAGCUGUUAAAGACAAGAAUUUCUAUACGGAAAAAUAGAAGAGGUAUAUUUGAUAUCACAAUAUUUAUUGGUAUACCUUAAAGGUANN